This 798-nucleotide ribosomal RNA is filed under the name uncultured bacterium. Its description in RNAcentral is "bacterial SSU rRNA". It matches the Rfam family "Bacterial small subunit ribosomal RNA", at positions 83 to 883 of the family's 1533-position model. The record is from RNAcentral.
UGGAGAUGGCGACCGGCGCACGGGUGAGUAACACGUAUCCAACCUGCCGAUAACUCGGGGAUAGCCUUUCGAAAGAAAGAUUAAUACCCGAUGGCAUAAUUAGACCGCAUGGUCUUAUUAUUAAAGAAUUUCGGUUAUCGAUGGGGAUGCGUUCCAUUAGGCAGUUGGUGAGGUAACGGCUCACCAAACCUUCGAUGGAUAGGGGUUCUGAGAGGAAGGUCCCCCACAUUGGAACUGAGACACGGUCCAAACUCCUACGGGAGGCAGCAGUGAGGAAUAUUGGUCAAUGGGCGCAGGCCUGAACCAGCCAAGUAGCGUGAAGGAUGACUGCCCUAUGGGUUGUAAACUUCUUUUAUAUGGGAAUAAAGUUUUCCACGUGUGGAAUUUUGUAUGUACCAUAUGAAUAAGGAUCGGCUAACUCCGUGCCAGCAGCCGCGGUAAUACGGAGGAUCCGAGCGUUAUCCGGAUUUAUUGGGUUUAAAGGGAGCGUAGGUGGACAGUUAAGUCAGUUGUGAAAGUUUGCGGCUCAACCGUAAAAUUGCAGUUGAUACUGGCUGUCUUGAGUACAGUAGAGGUGGGCGGAAUUCGUGGUGUAGCGGUGAAAUGCUUAGAUAUCACGAAGAACUCCGAUUGCGAAGGCAGCUCACUGGACUGCAACUGACACUGAUGCUCGAAAGUGUGGGUAUCAAACAGGAUUAGAUACCCUGGUAGUCCACACAGUAAACGAUGAAUACUCGCUGUUUGCGAUAUACAGUAAGCGGCCAAGCGAAAGCAUUAAGUAUUCCACCUGGGGAGUAC